CCGCCAUGCAUUCUUUUUAGACCACACUCCAUGCCUGUGUUUCGCUACGUCACGUCACUAGCACGUUGUUAUUUGUAUUAUUUGUUAAAGGCCAUGAAAACAAACCUGCGUUGCACUCUCUUGUCAUGCAGAGACACCACUGAGGCUCACUCGUGAAGUUCAGUGAGAGCCAGGCAGCAUGCAGCUCUCUCCUCCUUACUCUGGGCAGCGCCGUCCACCAUGCCCACGCCCGUCGUCAUGCUACGACUGCGGCUGGUCAGCUUCUUCAGCUCGCUGGCGAAAGACAUCAUCUUCUUCUUGUCCUCGCGCACCACCUGCAGCCAUGACGGUACAGUGGCAUCAUUAUGUCUUUUUUUUUAAACUAAUACAGGUGGGAGUCGUCCAUGUACGUACCAGUCAAAAGUGUGAAGACACUUUCUCAUGCUAUUGAAUGGCAGUGUGUCAAGACUUUUGACUGGGACUCUAUGUUUCACCUUAUGUUUGUUUCAUUUAUGUAUGAUAGUUGCUAUAGCAUCGCCUGUGUAGAAAACCACAUGUUUAAACCAAGAAAACAAAACAACCCAAGGUUACAGUAAGGUAACAAUAUAUAGGCUCCAGCAUACCCGCGACCCUGGUGAGGAUAAGUGGCAUAGAAGAUGGAUGGAUGGAUGGGUACAACAAAAUAACAUGGAACUAUAGAUAAAUUAAAUAACUACAGGUAAAAUAACAAAAGAAUAGUAACAACAAAUAUGUACAAAAUAAUCUCAAGUAGUAAUCUAAAGCAAAAAUAAUCUGUGACCCAAAUGAGGACAAGCAGUACAGAAAAAAAAUUUGGAUAAAAUAAAAACCAAUUGAAAACAAGUACAAUAAAAAUAAAAAAGUAACAGAUGCAAGUAAUAAGUAAAAAAAAAUAACAAAAGUUGACAUAACAUUAAUUAAAAAAAGAAAUAAAUUACAAUAAAUGUAAUUAAUAAAUAAAGAAGUAAAUAAGUAAAAUAUAAAUGAUAUAAAAAAAAGGAAUAAAAUACAAAUUAUUUCAUAUUGAUGAAGAAAGGCUCAAUAGUGGGAGUGAUAGGCUCCAGCUCCACUGUAACCCUAAGCUGUAUUGGAAAUGGAUGGAUGGAUGGACGGACGGAUGGAUGGAUGGAUGGAUGGAUGGAUGGAUGGACGGACGGAUGGAUGGAUGGAUGGACGGACGGACGGAUGGAUGGAUGGAUAGUGGGAGUGAGGACACUUAAUGAUGUUUUCAGUUAUUAAAUUACUGGGAAAUUGAAAUCUGCAAACUGAUUGGUCCAAAGACUUCCUGUCUUAAAAAAAAACAACUAUACACGGAGCGGGCUUAAAAAAUAUAUAUGACAACUUUAUUUAUCAGCGAAGCAGACAUUGACCCAUUGUCAAUGGCCAGAUGACAUAGAAAAUGGUAAAAAAACAAAAGACCAGUAAGUUAGUAGUACUGUUAGUACAUGUUAUUAAGAGUACUAAUGAAGCCACGCUACCUGCUCCUUCAAUUUGAGAAUGAACUUUCCCGCCCCCCUCCAGCGACUCUGAACGUGGUAAACACACUCGUGAUCCAGAAGGACACGCUGCACGGACUUGGCGGCGGACGACUUUUUGGAAGGGACGUCCUUGGUCACUUCCUCUAUGAGUACGUAGUCGCUGGAGUUGGGGUUGGACAGGAUGCUGUAGGAGUACUUCGCCUUGGAUAGAGUCUGGAGAGGAGAGGAGAGGGAGGGCACGUUUAGAACAUUCCAGAACAUUGCAGAACAUUUCAACGUGUCUUCUAACCUGUUGUAUGAUGUCCUGUGCUGAGCUGUAGCGAGGAGCCUUGAUGACCGUGUGAGGCUGCUCCGGAGAUACUUCAUGAACCUGGACCAAGAACAUGUCCUCCUCUACACCUCCUCCUCCAUCGACAACUGCCACCUCCUCCUCACCCUCCGCCACUGUGUUCUUCUCAUUUAAAUUCUGCAAGCACAGAGACUCUGCCUUUGAACUCACUUACUGGAUGCUUUAUUAGGUGAUGUAUCCAUAGAUCCAACCACAAGAGGGAGCCAAACUCCAGCUGGAGACCACUUUAAUCAACGCCUCCUCAGCUGCUAGGGAGCGGCGCUGAGAAGAUCGCUUGGAGUCUCCGCGCUCCUUGGCCAAGGGAAGUUUCUCCUCGCACAAGAAGUACUGGUUCCCCUUUGUUGGUACAAUCUGACAGGAGGAAACAAGAGCUAUGGCUGAACAACUAUGUUGACAACAGGUGGAAUUUUACUUAUAGUUUCUUCAUGAUUAUAAAGACGGAUGGAUGGCAAUCUGACCUGGGAUGAAGGAGUGGCGCCCCCUGCUGGGCUUUCUUCUAUUCUUCUGCUGUAGAUGAACAAGCUGGACACUUCCAUGGACUCGUUAUGCUGCGUCCUUAACUGUACGUGUCUGUAACCUGCAAGAAAACACACACAGACGUGAUUAGAUCUGCUAGCCCAAAAAGACUCACUCCUGGAGCCACUGAAAUGCACGUCAUACCAGGCUUGAGGGCUCGAAGGGGCAGAGUCCUUUGAGCAGUGGUCUGCGAACUGUUAUUCUCCACCACGGCGAAGCGCAGGAAGCACAGCUCCUCGAAGUGAACACUGAAGUGGAAGCGCUCGCUCCACAUGGGGUUCAGCGUGUUGCGAUGGAUGGGCUUGGUGCGGAAAUGGCAGCUGUCGCCUGGCAUGCCCAGCACAUCCACUUCCACGCAGGGACUUCCCGAGCCGUUGGCGGGACACACGUUCUGACCCGACACGAUCUGAGGACAAAUCCAUGAUAAAUAAGUGAUGAUAUGAGAAGUGUAACACGCUGAUAAAGAACGCA
Molecule: long non-coding RNA, 2811 nt
Organism: Dunckerocampus dactyliophorus (ringed pipefish)
Lineage: Eukaryota; Metazoa; Chordata; Actinopteri; Syngnathiformes; Syngnathidae
Exons: 4
Source: RefSeq, a predicted model, not a curated record